GGGGAUGUGGCGCAACGGGUGAGCGCAGCGUUCUUAUAAGGCGCCGGUUGCCAGUUCGAGUCUGGCCAUCCCCA
Molecule: transfer RNA, 74 nt
Filed under: Chloroflexi bacterium HGW-Chloroflexi-1
Lineage: Bacteria; Bacillati; Chloroflexota
Description: tRNA-Ile
Rfam family: tRNA
About the family: Transfer RNA (tRNA) molecules are approximately 80 nucleotides in length. Their secondary structure includes four short double-helical elements and three loops (D, anti-codon, and T loops). Further hydrogen bonds mediate the characteristic L-shaped molecular structure. tRNAs have two regions of fundamental functional importance: the anti-codon, which is responsible for specific mRNA codon recognition, and the 3' end, to which the tRNAs corresponding amino acid is attached (by aminoacyl-tRNA synthetases). tRNAs cope with the degeneracy of the genetic code in two manners: having more than one tRNA (with a specific anti-codon) for a particular amino acid; and 'wobble' base-pairing, i.e. permitting non-standard base-pairing at the 3rd anti-codon position.
Source: RNAcentral